RNAcentral lists this ribosomal RNA (696 nucleotides) under Pseudomonas sp. Y4_1246_3. RNAcentral's name for it is "bacterial SSU rRNA". It matches the Rfam family "Bacterial small subunit ribosomal RNA", at positions 63 to 754 of the family's 1533-position model. The record is from RNAcentral. Lineage: Bacteria; Pseudomonadati; Pseudomonadota; Gammaproteobacteria; Pseudomonadales; Pseudomonadaceae.
CGAGCGGUAGAGAGAAGCUUGCUUCUCUUGAGAGCGGCGGACGGGUGAGUAAUGCCUAGGAAUCUGCCUGGUAGUGGGGGAUAACGUUCGGAAACGGACGCUAAUACCGCAUACGUCCUACGGGAGAAAGCAGGGGACCUUCGGGCCUUGCGCUAUCAGAUGAGCCUAGGUCGGAUUAGCUAGUUGGUGGGGUAAUGGCUCACCAAGGCGACGAUCCGUAACUGGUCUGAGAGGAUGAUCAGUCACACUGGAACUGAGACACGGUCCAGACUCCUACGGGAGGCAGCAGUGGGGAAUAUUGGACAAUGGGCGAAAGCCUGAUCCAGCCAUGCCGCGUGUGUGAAGAAGGUCUUCGGAUUGUAAAGCACUUUAAGUUGGGAGGAAGGGUUGUAGAUUAAUACUCUGCAAUUUUGACGUUACCGACAGAAUAAGCACCGGCUAACUCUGUGCCAGCAGCCGCGGUAAUACAGAGGGUGCAAGCGUUAAUCGGAAUUACUGGGCGUAAAGCGCGCGUAGGUGGUUUGUUAAGUUGGAUGUGAAAUCCCCGGGCUCAACCUGGGAACUGCAUUCAAAACUGACUGACUAGAGUAUGGUAGAGGGUGGUGGAAUUUCCUGUGUAGCGGUGAAAUGCGUAGAUAUAGGAAGGAACACCAGUGGCGAAGGCGACCACCUGGACUAAUACUGACACUGAGGUGC